This 485-nucleotide ribosomal RNA is filed under the name uncultured bacterium. RNAcentral describes it as "partial 16S ribosomal RNA". It matches the Rfam family "Bacterial small subunit ribosomal RNA", at positions 30 to 506 of the family's 1533-position model. The record is from RNAcentral.
AUUGAACGCUGGCGACAUGCCUUACACAUGCAAGUCGAACGGCAGCACGGGUGCUUGCACCUGGUGGCGAGUGGCGAACGGGUGAGUAAUACAUCGGAACAUGUCCUGUGGUGGGGGAUAGCCCGGCGAAAGCCGGAUUAAUACCGCAUACGAUCUACGGAUGAAAGCGGGGGACCUUCGGGCCUCGCGCUAUAGGGUUGGCCGAUGGCUGAUUAGCUAGUUGGUGGGGUAAAGGCCUACCAAGGCGACGAUCAGUAGCUGGCCUGAGAGGACGACCAGCCACACUGGGACUGAGACACGGCCCAGACUCCUACGGGAGGCAGCAGUGGGGAAUUUUGGACAAUGGGCGAAAGCCUGAUCCAGCAAUGCCGCGUGUGUGAAGAAGGCCUUCGGGUUGUAAAGCACUUUUGUCCGGAAAGAAAUCCUUGGCCCUAAUACGGUCGGGGGAUGACGGUACCGGAAGAAUAAGCACCGGCUAACUACGU